This is a long non-coding RNA of Mus musculus (house mouse), 618 nucleotides long. RefSeq annotates it as predicted gene, 36451. NCBI's taxonomy places the organism in Eukaryota, Metazoa, Chordata, Mammalia, Rodentia, Muridae. The transcript has 3 exons. The record is from RefSeq and is a predicted model, not a curated record.
CGACUAUUAGAUAAGCCAAGUCCAUCUGUUCCUUUGAGAUCUGAAUCUAAGUUAAACCAAGAUGUUGUAUGGAGAUGAAAACCAGCAGGAUAGUUCUGUGGCUGUCCCAUGAGCUCACUCAGACCUCCCCAGGUCACUCCAGAGGAUCUGGAAUUGCAUGGUUGAGGCACAUGGAUGGCCCUUGGCUCCACCUUCUGAGACUACUCUUGCCUGGGGACGGCAGCUGCAGUAGCAACCACCACGAGCCGCCAGCUCUGCUUUAGAAAGACAGAACUGCAGCUGCAGAGUAAACAAACCACACAGUGACCUUGCGUCUCUUUGUUUCCUACCUCUCUGUGAGGGCCUUACGGUCUUACCCUUCCCCAGGUGACAACUCGAGAACAGCUUGCUCUGAUGGUUUCGAAAGCAGAUUCGGAACAACUCAAUCAACCAACCACUGCAUGUGCCGCUGGGCUUCAGCCAAUGGACCAGAGCCAGGGAGCAUCGGAUGCUGAGGGCCAGGGACACAGGUUCUCCAAGUGCUGAGCUCUGGACACUGGCACUCACUGGAGUGAUGAAUGGGUAGUUUUUAUUAUUGACUUGAUUGGGUUAAUAAACAGCUAAUGGAUUAGUGAGAUA